This 209-nucleotide long non-coding RNA is filed under the name Salvia miltiorrhiza (redroot sage). Its description in RNAcentral is "long non-coding RNA (SMIL_LNC004342)". Lineage: Eukaryota; Viridiplantae; Streptophyta; Magnoliopsida; Lamiales; Lamiaceae. The record is from RNAcentral.
CGCAAUCUUGCAAAGGAAUUGACUACUGGUGCAAUUGCAUCGGUUUUCUUGGAUUUCGGAUCUCUGUUUUUGCUGCUCUCUUCUGGUGUCUAUGUUUGAGUCUGUAACAUCAAAAAGUAGGACAAUGUAUGAGGUUUUACAUACUCACGACCUUUCCUCACAUUCUGAACCUAAGCUAAGCUUGGCUUCAAGUUUUGAUUAAUCAUUUG